Molecule: ribosomal RNA, 480 nt
Filed under: uncultured bacterium
Lineage: Bacteria
Description: bacterial SSU rRNA
Rfam family: Bacterial small subunit ribosomal RNA
Source: RNAcentral
GAUGAACGCUGGCGGCAUGCCUAAUACAUGCAAGUCGAACGAGAGGAAGGAAAGCUUGCUUUCCUGAAUCUAGUGGCGAACGGGUGAGUAACACGUAGGUGACCUGCCCAUGUGCCCGGGAUAACUUCUGGAAACGGAUGCUAAAACCGGAUAGGUAGCAGACAAGCAUUUGACUGCUAUUAAAGUGGCCUUGGCCAUGAACAUGGAUGGACCUGCGGUGCAUUAGCUGGUUGGUGAGGUAACGGCCCACCAAGGCGACGAUGCAUAGCCGGCCUGAGAGGGCGGACGGCCACAUUGGGACUGAGACACGGCCCAAACUCCUACGGGAGGCAGCAGUAGGGAAUUUUCGUCAAUGGGGGGAACCCUGAACGAGCAAUGCCGCGUGAGUGAGGAAGGUCUUCGGAUCGUAAAGCUCUGUUGUAAGAGAAAAACGGCACUCAUAGGGAAUGAUGAGUGAGUGAUGGUAUCUUACCAGAAAGU